GCCCUUGUAGCCUGGUCGGCAUAGCACUUCCAUGGUAAGGAAAGGGUCACCGGUUGAAAUCCGGUCGUGGGCU
RNAcentral lists this transfer RNA (73 nucleotides) under Spirochaetales bacterium. RNAcentral describes it as "tRNA-Thr". The record is from RNAcentral. Lineage: Bacteria; Pseudomonadati; Spirochaetota; Spirochaetia; Spirochaetales.